This 3752-nucleotide long non-coding RNA is filed under the name Daphnia magna. RNAcentral's name for it is "uncharacterized LOC116922963, transcript variant X1". The record is from RNAcentral. Lineage: Eukaryota; Metazoa; Arthropoda; Branchiopoda; Diplostraca; Daphniidae.
UAGGGGAGCGUGUGAGGCGGACAUUGCCGGAAAAAGAAAAAAAAACGAUUCAUGGUGUACAUACAUAUACGCACCCGUAUUGUAUGUAUCAUUUGCAUCACGCAGCACAAAAGGCAGCAUCUCCUUGUUUAUGUAUAGCACAGGAGCCUGCUGGAAUCACCUGGGAUGUAUAUAACACACAGGGUGGAAGAUAGAGAGACCCUAUGAUAUUCGCUUCCUGUCAGUUGAGCUCGGCUUUGUUCGUCAUUUCGACUGUUUCUGUUGUGCUGUGCAGCGCGGAACUAGCGUUUAACGUGGCCAGUCGUUUUGUUGUUUGGUCAAUUGUUGUUGUUGUUGUUUUUUUUAUCGCUUAUGAAUAAGUCGAUACGGGUCGAGGCCUAUUAAACUAUGGAAUAUCAUUAGAAUAAGAAACAAGUUGCCGACGAAUGCAAAAGUGCGGAAGCUUUCACUGUUCUAUCCCCUUUUCCGUGUGUAAUUGGCGUUCACUAGGUUUCGAUCCUUUCAAACAGAAAAGAGUUUCGUUGUUCACGGUGAAAACGAUGCAAUUGUAUCAGAAAGGAAAACACAAAAGACAAAAAAGACAGACGAGAUAACAACGGCAGAAAACGGCGGAAGAUGAGAUAAUAUGAAGGAAAGAGGAAAGAAUUAAAGCGGCAUAGCUCAAAGGAGUUGGACAGUUAUGCAGCCGACCAAACGCCAGUUCAUUUUCGGCCUUUUUUUUCUUUCUUUCUUUCUUCUUUCCUUUUGCUGUACACAGUCAGAAAGAGAAACAUAAUCAUUUCCAUCGGUUUUCGGUUGUUGUUGUUUGCCGUGUCGUUGUGUUCCUCUUACUCAUUCCCGCUUCUCGUUUAAUCGAACGACGUAUAUGUAUACGUAACAAAACGAGAAAAAGGAGAGUAUCUAACAAUGAACAGAGUUUCAAAAGAGAAAGAGGAAAUGAGACCACCCAUUCAUUUUGGAAUUCCAUUUUUUGUUUUUUGUUUUUCAUUAAUUUUUUUCUUAUUCUCAUUUCUCGAGUGGGGGAUCAGGACAACGAUCUUUAUAUUCAGAAAAGAAGGUGGUACGCUUUAAUACCGGGAUGAAUGUGGCAUUUGCAGCGCAAUAAAACAAUGAGGAACAACUGCAAUUUCCGGUGAAAUGCGGUUCAAUUCAGGCGCAAUUGAUCGUGUUUGGCUUUUAUAAAGUCGUCGUUGAACAUCAAGUCUCUUUGAGGCGUCACACAGGAUGGACAGAACCACGGAAUCUCCUUCAAAUUCAAAGGGGUUGAGCUGAAACCACUCGGAUUCCGGUUUCAUUGAAAAACGAUCGAUGGGCGGGGAAACUCAUAUUUUAUUCGGAAUCAGCGUUUAAUUAUAUAUUUUAUAGGAGGUUAGAUUUCAUCAAAUACCAAUCCACAAUUUUAAGUUCAACUCAAAAAGGCAUAGAGAAAGAAAAAAGAAGAGGGAAGUGGAUCUAUUGAAAUCUAACCGACACCAUGAAGCGAGUUGGCCAUCUACCACAGACCUACUACGAAGAAACGACGACGACGACUUGAUGGAUCGUAAAAACAUCUUUGGCCGAUGUGUCUCUCUUCUUCUUCUUCUUCUUGGCUCUCUCAAUCCGUUUAUGUUCACCUGGACAUUUUCUUCAGCGUCUCCUAUGUCGCAAGGAAAUUGACAUAUAGUCUGUGUGUGUGUGAUUCUGUGAAAGAUGGAUGCGUCCCCUACCCUCUUCUUUCUAGUGAAAAAUAAUAACAACAUAGAGACACACACAAUACGCUGGUUGGAUAUGUAGAAGAGAGAGAGACAAGUGGGUCCCACUCUCCAAUGUGUUCGACCUCUUGGCUCACAAGAGAUUGAUCCACUACGUAAGGUGCUGCGACAGCGUCACAUCGAGCUGGGCGGGCUCAUAAAAAAUAAAAAGGAGAAAGAAAAAAAUAUAUACACAACAGAGCAGAGGGGGGUUUAUAAAUGUAUAGGCAAUCUUCUUCUUAAAAAAAAAAAAGGAGGAUCACCUCCGUCACUAGCAACCACACACACAGACAAGAUACCCAAAGACAAAAAAAAAAGAAAAGAAAGAAUAAUACCUCCUUCUCCAUUUCGGUUACCUCAAAUUGACAAACAAGUUUCCUUCUCCAGUUGGUCGACGGAUGACAUCCUUCUCUUUUUUUUAUUUUUUAUUUUUUUUUUUGCUUUUGGGCCCGGCCCUUAUUAUCGUCUUUCUUCUUUUAGCUCUUGUUGGUCGACUCUCAUCUCUCAAGUUGUUCUUAAAAAAAAAAAAAAGAAAAGAAAUAAUUCCUUAUCAGUUUAAAAAGAUCGACUAGGAAAUUGAAAUAUGUCUGUCGCAGACAUUCUUCUGCCUGUUCUUCUUCUUUGUUGCACAAGUUUUGUUUUCACGUGCCUGUUGAGAGGGCGAGUAUAGCCAGUGAGGGGUUACCAUCUUACGUAUACAGAAUGUUUCAUCAGGAAUAGAUGGAUUGAAACAAGAGGAAAACAUUAUCGGAAAUAUGUCCCAUAUAACUCUUUUAAAACGGUUCACAUUUCCAUCAAAAGAAAUGCUCUGUACGGCAAUCGAAAACUGACAGGCAUUUAGCAAUAAAAACAUUUUGAAUUUCUUCGUAUGUAUCGGAGGAGAUCAAGAACUCACCUCCAUCUUUGUUUAUUGCUUAAGUUUUUCUUUCUUUUCUUGAAUACGUAUACAAGAUCCCGUUCUUGGUAUUAGCGCAAUACACCGACAGUUAUACUUGAUUAAAUUCCUAUGGUAUCAGAGAAUGCACGUCGGGAUUGAAUGUACGGUAACCUGUUGUUAUAUACAUGGCCAUGAAACUUAACAUCCCAAACGAAGAGCGCUAUCAUCGAAAACUAUGCGUUAACAGCCAAUUAUAAUUUCCAAGUCCUACACAUCCGGACGUGCGUGAUUCCCGGUCUAAAAUCAAGUUGGACAACAAGUUUCAUAGAUAUACGUCUCCAUCAGGAGCGCAGUUGGAGAAGGUGUGGCCGCGGGAUGUUGUUUACCAUUCGCGCACACGAAGAUUGUGGCCAAUUUAUGGAAAAAGCCAACAAUAAAAAAUGGGGAAAAAAAGGAGAUCUCCUCUUUAUCCCUCGUUUAUUUUGUUGUGGAAAGGCCAUAGUCAACGUGUGUGUCUCACGGAUGCGCACGCGUCAAACUCCAUUAGACAUUCACAUGGACAACUGAGGCCCUGCCCCGUGAGUUCCGAACGAUUUCCCUCACGUCGCUUCGUGCUGGCAGUCAUCCUAUGUGGUCGAGUCGAUGUGGUGUUCGUUUUGGCUUUUUCCGAAUUGGCGAAUGCUGGAAAAGCCGCUAAUUUACCGAAAGGCUUGUUGGCAAUGCAGAGAAUGAACCACCAAAGGAGAAAAACGAGUGAACCUCCUUGGGCUUUUUGAUAGAUGUUUCACCGGAAUCAAGUCUUUUUGAUUGGAAAAUGAAUAUGAAAAAAAAAAAAAAAAUAUAUAAGCACAUGACCAUCACCGUAGUAAAUUUUCUUCGCCCACCAGUUCAAAGUGUAAAUGAUGUACGAAAAACAAAAAAAUUGCCUUUGACAGUUGCCAUUGUGAACAUUUUGUUUUAUUUUAUUACAAAAGCUGCUGCAUUUCUAAUUACAGGAUUUCUUUCGAGUUCAUUUCUUCUAUUCCCUUUUUUAUUUAAAUAUUAUUAUUCAUAAUAAAUCCAGUUUUUUUUGUGUGUGUUGGGUUUCCAACUGCUAUUAUAUCUCUUAGCCAAAAAGUAUAUGAAUAAAUAAAAAUGCCGCAGAA